GAACCGCAGGUUCAGACAUUUGGUUCAUGUGCUUGGCUGAUAAGCCAAUGGUGCGAAGCUACCAUCUGGGGGAUUAUGACUGAACGCCUCUAAGUCAGAAUCCCGCCCAAAUCUGUGACGAUAUUUUCCGCGCCUCCUCGUUGGCAGGCAACGAUAUGCGCGUGUCGACCGUUCUUCGGCGCACGCGGUGGCUCGGCCACAGCAGACGGCUAUCUUCGGGCGUAGAGCGUUGCGUCCGAGUGCCGAAGCGAUACCCACCCGUGCAAUGUAGAGGUGCAAAAUCAUUUGUAGACGACUUAGGUCUGAGUCGGGGUGUCGUACUUAGUAGAGCAGCCGCCUCACUGCGAUCUAUUGAGACUAAGCCUUUCGACUCGGGGAUUUGU
Molecule: non-coding RNA, 383 nt
Filed under: endosymbiont of Tevnia jerichonana (vent Tica)
Lineage: Bacteria; Pseudomonadati; Pseudomonadota; Gammaproteobacteria
Description: Eukaryotic large subunit ribosomal RNA
Rfam family: Eukaryotic large subunit ribosomal RNA
Source: Rfam by way of RNAcentral